GCGGGCGUAGCUCAGCUGGCAGAGCACCGGAUUGUGAUUCCGGGUGUCGUGGGUUCGACCCCCAUCGCUCGCC
Molecule: transfer RNA, 73 nt
Filed under: Deltaproteobacteria bacterium
Lineage: Bacteria; Pseudomonadati; Myxococcota; Myxococcia
Description: tRNA-His
Rfam family: tRNA
About the family: Transfer RNA (tRNA) molecules are approximately 80 nucleotides in length. Their secondary structure includes four short double-helical elements and three loops (D, anti-codon, and T loops). Further hydrogen bonds mediate the characteristic L-shaped molecular structure. tRNAs have two regions of fundamental functional importance: the anti-codon, which is responsible for specific mRNA codon recognition, and the 3' end, to which the tRNAs corresponding amino acid is attached (by aminoacyl-tRNA synthetases). tRNAs cope with the degeneracy of the genetic code in two manners: having more than one tRNA (with a specific anti-codon) for a particular amino acid; and 'wobble' base-pairing, i.e. permitting non-standard base-pairing at the 3rd anti-codon position.
Source: RNAcentral